Molecule: transfer RNA, 86 nt
Filed under: Bacteroidales bacterium
Lineage: Bacteria; Pseudomonadati; Bacteroidota; Bacteroidia; Bacteroidales
Description: tRNA-Leu
Rfam family: tRNA
About the family: Transfer RNA (tRNA) molecules are approximately 80 nucleotides in length. Their secondary structure includes four short double-helical elements and three loops (D, anti-codon, and T loops).
Source: RNAcentral
GCCCGGAUGGCGGAAUUGGUAGACGCGCAUGUUUGAGGGGCAUGUCCCAGUUAUAUGGGGUGCAAGUUCAACUCUUGUUUCGGGCA